GUGGCUGGCUGCUGGAAGGCUUGAGUUAGCCAAUCUUGAUUACAGAAUGAACCACACUUGGAAAAGGUUAGGGUGAUGCAGCCCUAUAAAGACCAGCAGGAGGCUGCAAUAAAGGCAAGGGGGGAGGAUAUUGAGAGGGCAGAAGGAGAAUCAACCAAGUGCUAUGAGAGAGUUGGGAGGAGGAGGCGGCGGUGAAUACACAAAGAUGGACUCUGUGCACGAUGUAAGGUAGAAGAAACAAUUGAUCACCUUUUAUAGUUGUUCAGCAUCUCAGCCAAGAAGUCUGGGGGAGAGGAACUGCAGAAGUCCAUGUUUUAUUAUGCAGAGGAAUUGCAUCACUGAAUAAAGAAGAUCUCUUUUAAGCACUUUGGGCCCUGAGUGAUUCCAGAUCACCACACAGAGGAUUUGGUGAACCAGGCAGGGCUUCUGACAGCUAGGAGGAGAUUGAACCAGGCAAUGACACACUGGGCCUGUUGAUUUUCCCCUGGUUCAUCAAAGAAGAGCUCCACCUUCUGCAAAACAAGGGUUGCUCAAUUCAAGACAGGGCUGCCAGGCUCUGCAUCACCCUAGUUUUGAUACCCCCAGUCUGCAAAGUUCUUUUACCUUGUAAUAGGAUAACACACCUGGAGUUGGAGCUCUCCUCACAGGCUGCAAAGCAAGUGCUUUAACUUUAACUGCCUCCAGUCUCCUAGCCAUCCCUUCAGUCCCACCCCACCUGGUUAAAGAACAAAGGAAAUUCACUUACAAAAAACAUUGUUAAGAUUGCUGCUGAAGACUGGACUUCACACCCCAAACAAAAAUGCUCAUUUAGGAUAUCCCCACCAAUCUCCCAAAAGAAUGGCAGUGUUACAAGAACACAUACAGGGAAGGGGACAGGAAACAGAGGCCUCUGUGCUAGUGACCUUAUCUCCACCUUAACUACACUUUUGUAAGUACUGUGGAAACAAUGGCCUAGAGAAACUCAUAAAACAAGGCAGGCCCACUGAAAGUAACUCUGUCUGGACUUGCAGCAUACCUACUAUUCUCAGCUUCUGACUUCUCCUGAACAGAGCGUGCUCAUCAUGCUGAAAUGUUCAAAUGUGUGACGCUAUGGUAAAGUGUUCAGUGUCCAGAAGACCCUAAGCAAAGACUAUUAAACUAUGUCACUUACAGCCUAUUUUAACUCAGAACCCUUAUUGUACCUUUCGCUCACGUAAAAGACUGGUACAUUAAAACACUUCCAGACAUCAUCCCCAUUAAAGUGGGAGGCUUGUUGACAAAUUUACAAGUACAUGUCCAUUACUCUGGAUCUACAAUGAAGAUUCUGUGAAAUUGUACAGGGCCACAUUUUUUAAAGAAGGUUAGAGGACCAUGCAUAAAUCGUAUUGGAAACUGUAUACAUACAGUUGUGUAUAUGUACAAUCAGUUACUAUGACUGAGUGCACAGGAAACCAAUGGAGUGCACAUUUUGAAUAAUUUCAUGCACAAAGAUGUGCAUCUCAGUGCAUAUUUCUGAAGAUUUUAUGCAAAAUUAAUGCAUGCUCAGAUAAUCAAUUCACUGGUCAUGUUCGUCUGUAAUGCUCUGCUAAAGACCACAGAAACACAAAGGAGUAUGAUUGAAGACUCUUGAGUAGCCUCACAGCAUGGCUGUAGUUUAUCACUAUUCUAGUACAUUUGUCCACUAUUGUACGCUGCUUUGAGAUCCUUAGUUGAAAAUUGCUAUACAUGCUCAAAUACUGACUGUCCUACUGUAAAAAAUAUGAAUGCAGAAAGGGCUGUGACAUCUCAUUACUUAAAAAAACCCAAUGUAGCUAAAAAGUCUUCUCUUUUUAUUUUAAUCUUGGUGGAAUUGAAAAGCAAAUAUAGUAUCUAGGGAAUUUCACUAAAUCCAUUUUCUGUUCUAUGAAAGAAAUCCACU
Dermochelys coriacea (leatherback sea turtle) is the source of this 1897-nucleotide long non-coding RNA. RefSeq lists it as uncharacterized. Lineage: Eukaryota; Metazoa; Chordata; Testudines; Dermochelyidae. The transcript has 3 exons. The record is from RefSeq and is a predicted model, not a curated record.